RNAcentral lists this ribosomal RNA (484 nucleotides) under uncultured bacterium. RNAcentral describes it as "partial 16S ribosomal RNA". It matches the Rfam family "Bacterial small subunit ribosomal RNA", at positions 30 to 507 of the family's 1533-position model. The record is from RNAcentral.
AUUGAACGCUGGCGGCGGGCCUAACACAUGCAAGUCGAGCGGAUGAAGGGAGCUUGCUCCUGGAUUCAGCGGCGGACGGGUGAGUAAUGCCUAGGAAUCUGCCUGGUAGUGGGGGAUAACGUCCGGAAACGGGCGCUAAUACCGCAUACGUCCUGAGGGAGAAAGUGGGGGAUCUUCGGACCUCACGCUAUCAGAUGAGCCUAGGUCGGAUUAGCUAGUUGGUGGGGUAAAGGCCUACCAAGGCGACGAACCGUAACUGGUCUGAGAGGAUGAUCAGUCACACUGGAACUGAGACACGGUCCAGACUCCUACGGGAGGCAGCAGUGGGGAAUAUUGGACAAUGGGCGAAAGCCUGAUCCAGCCAUGCCGCGUGUGUGAAGAAGGUCUUCGGAUUGUAAAGCACUUUAAGUUGGGAGGAAGGGCAGUAAGUUAAUACCUUGCUGUUUUGACGUUACCAACAGAAUAAGCACCGGCUAACUUCGUG